This 505-nucleotide ribosomal RNA is filed under the name Agrionoptera insignis. RNAcentral describes it as "partial 16S ribosomal RNA". It matches the Rfam family "Bacterial large subunit ribosomal RNA", at positions 1819 to 2597 of the family's 2925-position model. Lineage: Eukaryota; Metazoa; Arthropoda; Insecta; Odonata; Libellulidae. The record is from RNAcentral.
GUCCUUUUGAAUUUAAUUGAAGGUCUGACCUGCCCAGUGAUAAUUUUAACGGCCGCGGUAUACUGACCGUGCAAAGGUAGCAUAAUCAUUAGUCUUUUAAUAGAGGGCUGGAAUGAAAGGUUUAACGAGGAACUGACUGUCUCAUUUUAUUUGUUUUAAAAUUUAAUUUUUUAGUUAAAAAGCUAAAAUUUUAUUGGAAGACGAGAAGACCCUAUAGAUCUUUACAUAUUUUUAUUUAAAUAUUUUUAUAUCAAUAUUUUUAUUUUAAAAUGUGUUUUGUUGGGGUGACAAAAAUAUAUAAUUAACUUUUUUAUUUACAUAACAUUGAUUUAUGAUUAUUAGAUCCAAUCUUAUUGAUUAUUAGAUUAAGUUACCUUAGGGAUAACAGCGUAAUCCUCCUCCAGAGUUCAUAUUUACAGGAUGGGCUUGCGACCUCGAUGUUGGAUUAAGAUAAUAAUUAGGUGUAGCCGCUUAAUUUAUAGGUCUGUUCGACCUUUAAAUUCUU